Molecule: ribosomal RNA, 253 nt
Filed under: uncultured bacterium
Lineage: Bacteria
Description: partial 16S ribosomal RNA
Rfam family: Bacterial small subunit ribosomal RNA
Source: RNAcentral
UACGUAGGGGGCAAGCGUUGUCCGGAUUUAUUGGGCGUAAAGAGCGUGUAGGCGGCUUUACAGGUCCGUUGUGAAAACUCGAGGCUCAACCUCGAGAUGUCGGCGGAAACUGUCUGGCUAGAGUCCGGAAGAGGAGAGUGGAAUUCCUGGUGUAGCGGUGAAAUGCGCAGAUAUCAGGAAGAACACCUAUGGCGAAGGCAGCUCUCUGGGACGGUACUGACGCUGAGACGCGAAAGCGUGGGGAGCGAACAGG